This 253-nucleotide ribosomal RNA is filed under the name uncultured bacterium. Its description in RNAcentral is "partial 16S ribosomal RNA". It matches the Rfam family "Bacterial small subunit ribosomal RNA", at positions 524 to 776 of the family's 1533-position model. The record is from RNAcentral.
UACGUAGGGUGCAAGCGUUGUCCGGAAUUAUUGGGCGUAAAGAGCUCGUAGGCGGUUCGUCGCGUCGGCUGUGAAAUCCCGAGGCUCAACCUCGGGUCUGCAGUCGAUACGGGCGGACUGGAGUACUGCAGGGGAGACUGGAAUUCCUGGUGUAGCGGUGAAAUGCGCAGAUAUCAGGAGGAACACCGGUGGCGAAGGCGGCUCUCUGGGACGGUACUGACGCUGAGACGCGAAAGCGUGGGGAGCGAACAGG